GUGCCAGCCGCCGCGGUAAUACGUAGGGUCCGAGCGUUGUCCGGAUUCAUUGGGCGUAAAGAGCUCGUAGGCGGCUCGGUAAGUCGGAUGUGAAAACUCAGGGCUCAACCCGGAGACGCCAUCCGAUACUGCUGUGGCUUGAGUCUGGUAGGGGAACACGGAAUACCUGGUGUAGCGGUGAAAUGCGCAGAUAUCAGGUGGAACACCGAUGGCGAAGGCAGUGUUCUGGGCCAGUACUGACGCUGAGGAGCGAAAGCGUGGGGAGCAAACAGGAUUAGAUACCCGCGUAGUCC
This 293-nucleotide ribosomal RNA is filed under the name uncultured bacterium. RNAcentral's name for it is "partial 16S ribosomal RNA". It matches the Rfam family "Bacterial small subunit ribosomal RNA", at positions 505 to 796 of the family's 1533-position model. The record is from RNAcentral.